Molecule: ribosomal RNA, 492 nt
Filed under: uncultured bacterium
Lineage: Bacteria
Description: partial 16S ribosomal RNA
Rfam family: Bacterial small subunit ribosomal RNA
Source: RNAcentral
AGUGAACGCUGGCGGUAGGCCUAACACAUGCAAGUCGAACGGCAGCACAGUAAGAGCUUGCUCUUACGGGUGGCGAGUGGCGGACGGGUGAGGAAUACAUCGGAAUCUACUUUUUCGUGGGGGAUAACGUAGGGAAACUUACGCUAAUACCGCAUACGACCUACGGGUGAAAGCAGGGGAUCUUCGGACCUUGCGUGAUUGAAUGAGCCGAUGUCGGAUUAGCUAGUUGGCGGGGUAAAGGCCCACCAAGGCGACGAUCCGUAGCUGGUCUGAGAGGAUGAUCAGCCACACUGGAACUGAGACACGGUCCAGACUCCUACGGGAGGCAGCAGUGGGGAAUAUUGGACAAUGGGCGCAAGCCUGAUCCAGCCAUACCGCGUGGGUGAAGAAGGCCUUCGGAUUGUAAAGCCCUUUUGUUGGGAAAGAAGAGCAGCAGGUUAAUACCCCGCUGUUCUGACGGUACCCAAAGAAUAAGCACCGGCUAACUUCGUG